AGCGGUCAAAUCACGCUGAAACACCGGUUCUCGUUCGAUCACCGAAGUUAAGCAUCGUAGAGCCAGGUCAGUACUAU
This is a non-coding RNA of Acanthosepion pharaonis, 77 nucleotides long. NCBI's taxonomy places the organism in Eukaryota, Metazoa, Mollusca, Cephalopoda, Sepiida, Sepiidae. The record is from the annotation of a GenBank genome assembly.